GACGAACGCUGGCGGCGUGCUUAACACAUGCAAGUCGAACGAUGAAGCUAGAGCUUGCUCCGGUGGAUUAGUGGCGAACGGGUGAGUAACACGUGAGCAAUCUGCCCUUGACUCUGGGAUAACUGCGGGAAACUGUAGCUAAUACCGGAUACUUUCACUGGAAGGCAUCUUCUGGUGAAGAAAGAAUUUCGGUCAAGGAUGAGCUCGCGGCCUAUCAGCUUGUUGGUGAGGUAACGGCUCACCAAGGCGACGACGGGUAGCCGGCCUGGGAGGGUGACCGGCCACACUGGGACUGAGACACGGCCCAGCCUCCUACGGGAGGCAGCAGUGGGGAAUAUUGCACAAUGGGCGCAAGCCUGAUGCAGCAACGCCGCGUGAGGGAUGAAGGCCUUCGGGUUGUAAACCUCUUUUAGCAGGGAAGAAGCGAAAGUGACGGUACCUGCAGAAAAAGCACCGGCUAACUACGUGCCAGCCGCCGCCGUAA
RNAcentral lists this ribosomal RNA (484 nucleotides) under uncultured bacterium. Its description in RNAcentral is "partial 16S ribosomal RNA". It matches the Rfam family "Bacterial small subunit ribosomal RNA", at positions 28 to 523 of the family's 1533-position model. The record is from RNAcentral.